CGCGUAGGCGGCCUGAUAAGUCAGAUGUGAAAGUCCACGGCUCAACCGUGGAAGUGCAUUUGAAACUGUCAGGCUUGAGUAUCGGGAGGGGAGUGUGGAAUUCCCGGUGUAGAGGUGAAAUUCGUAGAGAUCGGGAGGAACACCGGUGGCGAAGGCGACACUCUGGACGAAUACUGACGCUGAGGCGCGAAAGCGGUGGGGAGCAAACA
This 209-nucleotide ribosomal RNA is filed under the name uncultured bacterium. Its description in RNAcentral is "partial 16S ribosomal RNA". It matches the Rfam family "Bacterial small subunit ribosomal RNA", at positions 568 to 774 of the family's 1533-position model. The record is from RNAcentral.